UUUCCGUAGGUGAACCUGCGGAAGGAUCAUUAUUGUACUUAAGGUCACCAAUUUGAAGACCUCAGAUUGGUGAUCAUCAGUACAUACCUAUAUAGUAGGAGCAAAAGUAUUUAAAACCCCCCACACUUAAAAUUUAAUGUAUAUUUUACUAUAAAAGUAAUUAAAAGAUCACUUUCAACAACGGAUCUCUUGGUUCUCGCAUCGAUGAAGAACGUAGCAAAGUGCGAUAAGUAGUGUGAAUUGCAGAAUCCCGUGGAUCAUCGAAUUUUUGAACGCAAAUUGCACUUUCUGGUAUUCCGGAAAGUAUGCCUGUUUGAGGGUCAGUAAAAUAAAAAAUCGAUUUGUCACCUUAUCGUGACAUUUCGGAAUUGAGCUACCUUAAAUUUUUAGGUUUAAGAGGCUUAAAAUUGAUCACUUUUUGGUAUGAUUUAAACGUGCUAAUAUUACGUUUAAUGAGUAUCGAUGUUUAUUAGGUAUGACCAUGAUCAUGGUUUCGUGCCCAUAAUUUUUUCAUGAAAUGACCUCAAAUCAGGUAGGAUUACCCGCUGAACUUAA
This 555-nucleotide ribosomal RNA is filed under the name uncultured Glomus. RNAcentral describes it as "eukaryotic LSU rRNA". The stretch from base 170 to 323 matches the Rfam family "5.8S ribosomal RNA". The record is from RNAcentral. Lineage: Eukaryota; Fungi; Glomeromycota; Glomeromycetes; Glomerales; Glomeraceae.